Etheostoma cragini (Arkansas darter) is the source of this 120-nucleotide long non-coding RNA. RefSeq lists it as uncharacterized. The record is from RefSeq and is a predicted model, not a curated record. The transcript is spliced from 4 exons. NCBI's taxonomy places the organism in Eukaryota, Metazoa, Chordata, Actinopteri, Perciformes, Percidae.
UCCAUGGCCAUGGUUUGCUGUUUUGAGAGGCCUCAGAGUCUUUUUACAUUUGGCAUGCUUUAUGUGAGGAGGCUCUGGGUGUCUGGAGGUUAAGAGAAGAAAAUGACUUCUACACGUUCC